This is a long non-coding RNA of Portunus trituberculatus (swimming crab), 410 nucleotides long. RefSeq lists it as uncharacterized. NCBI's taxonomy places the organism in Eukaryota, Metazoa, Arthropoda, Malacostraca, Decapoda, Portunidae. The record is from RefSeq and is a predicted model, not a curated record. The transcript has 2 exons.
GGAGCACUAGUCCACGAAGUUGACAGGCUGCUCUGCCGCUGCAGGCAGUGACCAACAAAUAUUCACCUUCAGUAACACGCAGGCCAUCAAAGAAGCGGCUCGCGCCGCCGAACAUCGCAAGCGCCAUCGCUACGAGAACCUGGCCCGGAGGUAUGAUUUCUCACCGCUUGCUGUGGAGACUAGCGGUGUGCUCGGACCAGACUUCAAUGACUUACUGGAUGAUAUUGGUAGAAGAAUCACCCAACGCAGCGGGGAACCUCGAGAGACAGGUUGGCUGCGGCAACGCAUCAGCCUUGCCAUAGCGCGGGGCAACGCAGCUGCCAUCUGCGGGUCCCAUUAGUUGCCGAAAGGCCCACUAUGAAUCAUGUUUUGUACCCAUAUGUAUAAAUAGUAAAGUUGUUUUGCCAGAG